GAUGAACGCUGGCGGCGUGCUUAACACAUGCAAGUCGAACGGGAAACUUUUCAUUGAAGCUUCGGCAGAUUUGGUCUGUUUCUAGUGGCGGACGGGUGAGUAACGCGUGGGUAACCUGCCUUAUACAGGGGGAUAACAACCAGAAAUGGUUGCUUAUACCGCAUAAGCGCACAGGACCGCAUGGCCCGGUGUGAAAAACUCCGGUGGUAUAAGAUGGACCCGCGUUGGAUUAGCUGGUUGGCAGGGUAACGGCCUACCAAGGCGACGAUCCAUAGCCGGCCUGAGAGGGUGAACGGCCACAUUGGGACUGAGACACGGCCCAGACUCCUACGGGAGGCAGCAGUGGGGAAUAUUGCACAAUGGGGGAAACCCUGAUGCAGCGACGCCGCGUGAAGGAAGAAGUAUCUCGGUAUGUAAACUUCUAUCAGCAGGGAAGAUAGUGACGGUACCUGACUAAGAAGCCCCG
RNAcentral lists this ribosomal RNA (466 nucleotides) under uncultured bacterium. Its description in RNAcentral is "SSU rRNA". It matches the Rfam family "Bacterial small subunit ribosomal RNA", at positions 28 to 495 of the family's 1533-position model. The record is from RNAcentral.